Salvelinus sp. IW2-2015 is the source of this 419-nucleotide non-coding RNA. Lineage: Eukaryota; Metazoa; Chordata; Actinopteri; Salmoniformes; Salmonidae. The record is from RefSeq and is a predicted model, not a curated record.
GUGUUUUGUGAUGUCCAGGURUGACAGAGUGCCAGCGCAGUGGCCUGAGGUGUUCAGAGGGAGGGGWCUUCCUGUCGGCCCAGCAGGACAUCCAGACCAGGAGGUGGCGCUGUGUGACGUCCAGCGGAGAGCAGCUGGAGUGGACAUCCACUGGCCAGCCUCUGUCUGAGGGAGAAUGUUCAGUUCUGGAGAGGUUUGAGACAGUUCCCAGAUCAGCGUUUUCUCUAGCAGCAGAAGACUAUGUUGUCCUCAGCUCAGAGACGUCAGACACGGCCAUGGAGAAACAACUCAGCUCAGGACGUGUGUGUCAGCUUGUGCCCAGGUCCAGACUUGUCUUUACGUUGUCCUUUACACAGAAGAAGGCAAAGUCACUGUGAACUCUACAGCACUGACGCUGUAACAUCCAAUGCGAAACCUCU